UACGUAGGGUGCAAGCGUUGUCCGGAAUCAUUGGGCGUAAAGAGCGCGUAGGCGGCCAGAUAAGUCCGCUGUGAAAUCUCGAGGCUCAACUUCGAGCUGUCGGUGGAAACUGUCUGGCUAGAGUCCGGAAGAGGAGAAUGGAAUUCCUGGUGUAGCGGUGAAAUGCGCAGAUAUCAGGAAGAACACCCGUGGCGAAGGCGGUUCUCUGGGACGGUACUGACGCUGAGACGCGAAAGCGUGGGGAGCGAACAGG
RNAcentral lists this ribosomal RNA (253 nucleotides) under uncultured bacterium. Its description in RNAcentral is "partial 16S ribosomal RNA". It matches the Rfam family "Bacterial small subunit ribosomal RNA", at positions 524 to 776 of the family's 1533-position model. The record is from RNAcentral.